UGCAAGUACGAGCUCUCGUACAGCGAAACUGCGAAUGGCUCAUUAAAUCAGUUAUGGUUCAUUUGAUCGUACACGUUACUUGGAUAACUGUGGUAAUUCUAGAGCUAAUACAUGCUAAAAGCGCCGACUUCGGGAGGCGCGCAUUUAUCAGACCGCCGGCUCGGGCGUGUUCGCGCGCGCCCGGUCCUCUGGUGACUCUGGAUAACUGAGCGGAUCGCACGGUCGUUGCACCGGCGACGAAUCAUUCAAGUGUCUGCCCUAUCAACUCGAGUCGGUACGGUCUCGGCCUACCGAGGUUCUUACGGGUGACGGGGAAUCAGGGUUCGGUUCCGGAGAGGGAGCCUGAGAAACGGCUACCACUUCCAAGGAAGGCAGCAGGCGCGCAAAU
RNAcentral lists this ribosomal RNA (388 nucleotides) under Distaplia bermudensis. RNAcentral describes it as "SSU rRNA". It matches the Rfam family "Eukaryotic small subunit ribosomal RNA", at positions 58 to 441 of the family's 1831-position model. Lineage: Eukaryota; Metazoa; Chordata; Ascidiacea; Aplousobranchia; Clavelinidae. The record is from RNAcentral.